GCCGUUGUAGCUCAGUUGGUAGAGCACAUCCUUGGUAGGGAUGAGGUCUGCGGUCCGAUUCCGCACAACGGCU
RNAcentral lists this transfer RNA (73 nucleotides) under Candidatus Moraniibacteriota bacterium. RNAcentral describes it as "tRNA-Thr". It matches the Rfam family "tRNA". Rfam says of the family: Transfer RNA (tRNA) molecules are approximately 80 nucleotides in length. Their secondary structure includes four short double-helical elements and three loops (D, anti-codon, and T loops). Lineage: Bacteria; Candidatus Moraniibacteriota. The record is from RNAcentral.